AUCAUGGCUCAGGAUGAACGCUAGCUAUAGGCUUAACACAUGCAAGUCGAGGGGUAACAAGGAGAGAGCUUGCUCUUUCUGUUGACGACCGGCGCACGGGUGAGUAACACGUAUCCAACCUACCGUAUACACUGGGAUAGCUCUUCGAAAAGAAGGAUUAAUACUAGAUGUUAAGAUAUUCUCGCCUGGGAAUAUCUUCAAAGAUUUAUCGGUAUACGAUGGGGAUGCGUUCCAUUAGACAGUUGGUGAGGUAACGGCUCACCAAAUCGACGAUGGAUAGGGGUUCUGAGAGGAAGAUCCCCCACAUUGGAACUGAGACACGGUCCAAACUCCUACGGGAGGCAGCAGUGAGGAAUAUUGGUCAAUGGACGCGAGUCUGAACCAGCCAAGUAGCGUGAAGGAAGACUGCCCUAUGGGUUGUAAACUGCUUUUAUGCGGGGAUAAAGUGGGCCACGCGUGGCCUUUUGCAGGUACCGCAUGAAUAAGGACCGGCUAAUUCCGUG
RNAcentral lists this ribosomal RNA (503 nucleotides) under uncultured bacterium. RNAcentral's name for it is "bacterial SSU rRNA". It matches the Rfam family "Bacterial small subunit ribosomal RNA", at positions 16 to 507 of the family's 1533-position model. The record is from RNAcentral.